Molecule: transfer RNA, 70 nt
Filed under: Dipodomys ordii (Ord's kangaroo rat)
Lineage: Eukaryota; Metazoa; Chordata; Mammalia; Rodentia; Heteromyidae
Rfam family: tRNA
About the family: Transfer RNA (tRNA) molecules are approximately 80 nucleotides in length. Their secondary structure includes four short double-helical elements and three loops (D, anti-codon, and T loops).
Source: Rfam by way of RNAcentral
GGUUAGGUGGCUCAGUGGUAGAGCACUUGCCUUGCAUGCAUGAGGCCCUGGGUUCAAUUCCUCAGCACCA